CAGCCGCCGCGGGAAUACGAAGGGUGCAAGCGUUACUCGGAAUUACUGGGCGUAAAGCGUGCGUAGGUGGUGGUUUAAGUCCGUUGUGAAAGCCCUGGGCUCAACCUGGGAAUUGCAGUGGAUACUGGAUCACUAGAGUGUGGUAGAGGAUAGUGGUAUUUCCGGUGUAGCAGUGAAAUGCGUAGAGAUCGGAAGGAACAUCUGUGGCGAAGGCGACUAUCUGGGCCAACACUGACACUGAGGCACGAAAGCGUGGGGAGCAAACAGGAUUAGAUACCCCUGUAGUCCCUGUCUCUUAUAC
RNAcentral lists this ribosomal RNA (301 nucleotides) under uncultured bacterium. Its description in RNAcentral is "partial 16S ribosomal RNA". It matches the Rfam family "Bacterial small subunit ribosomal RNA", at positions 509 to 807 of the family's 1533-position model. The record is from RNAcentral.